This 498-nucleotide long non-coding RNA is filed under the name Equus caballus (horse). Its description in RNAcentral is "lncRNA (ENSECAG00000048509.1)". Lineage: Eukaryota; Metazoa; Chordata; Mammalia; Perissodactyla; Equidae. The record is from RNAcentral.
CAGAGAUGCACGUGGUGGCCCAUGUCCUGGUCGGAGGAAUCAGACUGCCGCCCUUCCUCUCACAGAUGUAAGCUUACCAACAUCGGUACGAGGCCGCCUUCGGGGUCAGGUGUGUGCUGCGACUUUGACACAGGUUUUCUCACUCAACGCAACAGUCAGGCACUAGGGUUAUCCCCACUUUACAGAUGUGAAACUGAGGAUCAGCACGUCGGUUGUCUUGGCCAACAAAAACCAGUACUCCGUGAUUGGAGCCCGUCUGUCCAUGGCCCGUGCUCCCUCCUACACCACUUUCUUGAAAUGAGAUUUUUAAAACAGCCCUGGUUCCUGCUCAUUUCCUGUUAGGAGCAGCUUUGCGUUAGAAAGAGUAGCUUUGGCCCGUGUCCCACCACAAGGGACCCCAAUCCUGCCCCUCUGGUCUAACACCUGUCAUCGCUCCUGACACCCGUGUCAGAGAGGAAAACCAAAGAACCCACCGCAGUUACGGUAAUACCCCAAGAC